CGGGUUGACCAAUUUUAAUUUUAAAUCGCGAAUCAAAUCUCGGGCUUGAGAUUGAAUUGUCGAUUUUUAUAAGGGAUUGCGAGUCAGAUUUCGGGCGCGAAAAUCGGACUAUCAAUCCCUAGCUUGAGGGACACUUUCAUGUUGGAAUCUCAAUCAAACAUUUAAGAAGAACAAUAAACAAAACCAGAUAUAAAGGAAAAUAAAAAGCCUAUAACCGGAUGAGCAAUAAUUUUUAAAUAAAAAAUCUACCUAAUUCACUUUUCCCUUUUUUUUCUUCUUUCCUUUCCCACGUGUGACC
RNAcentral lists this long non-coding RNA (298 nucleotides) under Eucalyptus grandis. RNAcentral describes it as "long non-coding RNA (EGRA_LNC006389)". Lineage: Eukaryota; Viridiplantae; Streptophyta; Magnoliopsida; Myrtales; Myrtaceae. The record is from RNAcentral.